RNAcentral lists this transfer RNA (72 nucleotides) under Parvularcula bermudensis HTCC2503. It matches the Rfam family "tRNA". Rfam says of the family: Transfer RNA (tRNA) molecules are approximately 80 nucleotides in length. Their secondary structure includes four short double-helical elements and three loops (D, anti-codon, and T loops). The record is from Rfam by way of RNAcentral. Lineage: Bacteria; Pseudomonadati; Pseudomonadota; Alphaproteobacteria; Parvularculales; Parvularculaceae.
GGGCGUAUAGCUCAGCGGUAGAGCACUACGUUGACAUCGUAGGGGUCCCAAGUUCGAACCUUGGUACGCCCA